GCGCGAAACCUCCGCAAUGCGAGCAAUCGCGACGGGGGAGACCCAAGUGCCACUCUUAACGGGGUGGCUUUUCUGAAGUGUAAAAAGCUUUUGGAAUAAGAGCUGGGCAAGACCGGUGCCAGUCGCCGCGGUAACACCGGCAGCUCAAGUGGUGGCCAUUUUUAUUGGGCCUAAAGCGUUCGUAGCCGGCGUGAUAAGUCUCUGGUGAAAUCCCACAGCUUAACUGUGGGAAUUGCUGGAGAUACUAUCAGGCUUGAGGCCGGGAGAGGCUGGAGGUACUCCCAGGGUAGGGGUGAAAUCCUAUAAUCCUGGGAGGACCACCUGUGGCGAAGGCGUCCAGCUGGAACGGACCUGACGGUGAGUAACGAAAGCCAGGGGCGCGAACC
Molecule: ribosomal RNA, 386 nt
Filed under: uncultured prokaryote
Description: bacterial SSU rRNA
Rfam family: Archaeal small subunit ribosomal RNA
Source: RNAcentral